GACGAACGCUGGCGGCGUGCUUAACACAUGCAAGUCGAACGGAAAGGCCCUGCUUUUGUGGGGUGCUCGAGUGGCGAACGGGUGAGUAACACGUGAGUAACCUGCCCUUGACUUUGGGAUAACUUCAGGAAACUGGGGCUAAUACCGGAUAGGAGCUCCUGCUGCAUGGUGGGGGUUGGAAAGUUUCGGCGGUUGGGGAUGGACUCGCGGCUUAUCAGCUUGUUGGUGGGGUAGUGGCUUACCAAGGCUUUGACGGGUAGCCGGCCUGAGAGGGUGACCGGCCACAUUGGGACUGAGAUACGGCCCAGACUCCUACGGGAGGCAGCAGUGGGGAAUAUUGCACAAUGGGCGGAAGCCUGAUGCAGCAACGCCGCGUGCGGGAUGACGGCCUUCGGGUUGUAAACCGCUUUCGCCUGUGACGAAGCGUGAGUGACGGUAAUGGGUAAAGAAGCACCGGCUAACUACGUGCCAGCAGCCGCGGUGAUACGUAGGGUGCGAGCGUUGUCCGGAUUUAUUGGGCGUAAAGGGCUCGUAGGUGGUUGAUCGCGUCGGAAGUGUAAUCUUGGGGCUUAACCCUGAGCGUGCUUUCGAUACGGGUUGACUUGAGGAAGGUAGGGGAGAAUGGAAUUCCUGGUGGAGCGGUGGAAUGCGCAGAUAUCAGGAGGAACACCAGUGGCGAAGGCGGUUCUCUGGGCCUUUCCUGACGCUGAGGAGCGAAAGCGUGGGGAGCGAACAGGCUUAGAUACCCUGGUAGUCCACGCUGUAAACGGUGGGUACUAGGUGUGGGGCCCAUUCCACGGGUUCCGUGCCGUAGCUAGCGCUUUAAGUACCCCGCCUGGGGAGUACGGCCGCAAGGCUAAAACUCAAAGGAAUUGACGGGGCCCCGCACAAGCGGCGGAGCAUGCGGAUUAAUUCGAUGCAACGCGUAGAACCUUACCUGGGUUUGACAUGGAUCGGGAGUGCUCAGAGAUGGGUGUGCCUCUUUUGGGGUCGGUUCACAGGUGGUGCAUGGCUGUCGUCAGCUCGUGUCGUGAGAUGUUGGGUUAAGUCCCGCAACGAGCGCAACCCUUGUUCACUGUUGCCAGCACGUUAUGGUGGGGACUCAGUGGAGACCGCCGGGGUCAACUCGGAGGAAGGUGGGGAUGACGUCAAGUCAUCAUGCCCCUUAUGUCCAGGGCUUCACGCAUGCUACAAUGGCUGGUACAGAGAGUGGCGAGCCUGUGAGGGUGAGCGAAUCUCGGAAAGCCGGUCUCAGUUCGGAUUGGGGUCUGCAACUCGACCUCAUGAAGUCGGAGUCGCUAGUAAUCGCAGAUCAGCAACGCUGCGGUGAAUACGUUCCCGGG
RNAcentral lists this ribosomal RNA (1343 nucleotides) under uncultured bacterium. RNAcentral describes it as "16S ribosomal RNA". It matches the Rfam family "Bacterial small subunit ribosomal RNA", at positions 28 to 1378 of the family's 1533-position model. The record is from RNAcentral.